AAAAACAUCGCCUCCUGCUUAAACAUAGGAGGUCCUGCCUGCCCAGUGACCCAUUCAACGGCCGCGGUAUUUUAACCGUGCAAAGGUAGCGCAAUCACUCGUUCUUUAAAUAAGGACUUGUAUGAACGGCUUCACGAAGGCUGCGCUGUCUCCUUUUCCACAUCAAUGAACCUGAUUUCCCCGUGAAGAAGCGAGGAUUAACCUAUAAGACGAAAAGACCCUAUGGAGCUUCAGAUUGGAUAUUAUAUAACCCUAAAUUAGUAUACCUACAUAUCCACCUUCGGUUGGGGCGACCACGGAGAAAAACUAACCCUCCACGACAAACAAACCAAAACACACAACUUAAAGCACCAACAACUUGACACUAUUGACCCAAUUACAAUUGAUCAACGAACCAAGUUACCCUAGGGAUAACAGCGCAAUCCAUUUCAAGAGCCCAUAUCAACAAAUGGGUUUACGACCUCGAUGUUGGAUCAGGGUAUCCCAGUGGUGCAACCGCUACUAAAGGUUCGUUUGUUCAACGAUUAAAACCCUACGUGAUCUGAUUCCAGACCGG
This 556-nucleotide ribosomal RNA is filed under the name Sooglossus sechellensis (Seychelles frog). Its description in RNAcentral is "partial 16S ribosomal RNA". It matches the Rfam family "Bacterial large subunit ribosomal RNA", at positions 1809 to 2619 of the family's 2925-position model. The record is from RNAcentral. Lineage: Eukaryota; Metazoa; Chordata; Amphibia; Anura; Sooglossidae.